GGCGGUUCUCAGGUGACACACCCCAGGAUCAGGCUCCCUUCUCUCUGGUUCCAGGUGGGUCACUGAGAACCAACU
Non-coding RNA from Myotis brandtii (Brandt's bat), 75 nucleotides. The record is from Rfam. NCBI's taxonomy places the organism in Eukaryota, Metazoa, Chordata, Mammalia, Chiroptera, Vespertilionidae.